CUGUGAACUCCUUAUCUCUGAAUACCAGUGCCUACAGUGUGCCUGGAACAUAGGAGAGGCUUAAUAAUUGUUUGUUUUUAAUGAUAUGUAGAUCGAUUGCUUAUUGGUUUUCUCCAGAAGAUGACCAGCAGUUCCACACUGAUGCCCAUGUCUUGUUUUUCAGCAGACUUUGACUUCUGGGUAUUGGAUGGUGGGCACAGCCAAUUUAUGUCUUGAAUGGAAUAAUGAGGGAGUUAAGAUUCAUUUUCUGUGAGCCACCUCUGAACAUCACCCCUGUGAAGUCCUUUGGUGCCAUUUUGCUGAUGGAAGAAGCUUAAGGUGAAUGACUUCUGAACCUUCAUCACUGAGGAUAACAUGAAGCUAGUCACUUGCCAUCUCGCCACACCUGAGCAUGCCAAACUGCGUUUCAUGGAGGGAAUUCCAGAAAGACAUGUUGCCGACCCAAAGAAGGAAUUGCUCCUUGGCCCUAUGAUUUAUGCAGGAGCAGAGGCAGCACGCAAUCGAGCUGUCAAGAGAGCGUCAGCUUAUUAGGCAAAUGCUGCGUGGUUUCUGAAGAGGGUCGACGCUAUAAAAUCCCACUCCAGGCUCUGGUGUGGAGAAACUCAGAGCCCAAGUCCGUUGAGAGACUGAAGAGAAAGAUAAGAGGUGAAGAAAAGAGAGUGAGGACAGAAAGGAGAGGGAAGAAAACCCCUGAAAAAGCCCGGAGACGUUCCUCUGCAGAGAGGCGGCAGCGCCCCACUCACCUGCAGAAGCACCUCAGAAGGUAGGGAGUGCCUAGACGGAACCGCGCCUCCAACUUUGCAUUGCCUGAGCUGCCACGGUGUGCGCGGCAGAGCCGGGUGUCCCUGUGAGGGCAUGUGUGUGAGUGUGAGUGUGUGUGCGUGCCUGUGUGUGUGCUGACUGUGCCUCAAGAUUCCGGUAGUAGCCGGCAUGUGUCAAAAGCAAACUUAGACGGCUGCUAAUCAUUCUUGGAACUGCCAGUUACUCCUCGCUGGCAUUGUAGACCAGUCCCCGCCAUCGAUCCCGACCCCUGA
Molecule: long non-coding RNA, 1034 nt
Organism: Zalophus californianus (California sea lion)
Lineage: Eukaryota; Metazoa; Chordata; Mammalia; Carnivora; Otariidae
Source: Ensembl